This 24-nucleotide non-coding RNA is filed under the name Arabidopsis thaliana (thale cress). The record is from RNAcentral. Lineage: Eukaryota; Viridiplantae; Streptophyta; Magnoliopsida; Brassicales; Brassicaceae.
AUCAGAUGUUGACUUGUGGAUUGA